Molecule: non-coding RNA, 73 nt
Organism: Camelus ferus (Wild Bactrian camel)
Lineage: Eukaryota; Metazoa; Chordata; Mammalia; Artiodactyla; Camelidae
Source: Rfam
GAAGGGGACAGCUCAGGGGUAGAGCACGUGCUUAGCAUGCACGAGGUCCUGGGUUCAAUCCCCAGCGCCUCCA